Molecule: ribosomal RNA, 429 nt
Filed under: Acidobacteriota bacterium
Lineage: Bacteria; Pseudomonadati; Acidobacteriota
Description: Acidobacteria bacterium partial 16S ribosomal RNA
Rfam family: Bacterial small subunit ribosomal RNA
Source: RNAcentral
UGGGGAAUUUUGGACAAUGGGGGAAACCCUGAUCCAGCCAUCCCGCGUGUGCGAUGUAGGCCUUCGGGUUGUAAAGUACUUUUGGCAGGAAAGAAACGUCAUGGGUUAAUACCCCGUGAAACUGACGGUACCUGCAGAAUAAGCACCGGCUAACUACGUGCCAGCAGCCGCGGUAAUACGUAGGGUGCAAGCGUUAAUCGGAAUUACUGGGCGUAAAGCGUGCGCAGGCGGUGCGGAAAGAAAGAUGUGAAAUCCCAGAGCUCAACUUUGGAACUGCAUUUUUAACUACCGGGCUAGAGUGUGUCAGAGGGAGGUGGAAUUCCGCGUGUAGCAGUGAAAUGCGUAGAUAAGCGGAGGAACACCGAUGGCGAAGGCAGCCUCCUAAGAUAACACUGACGCUCAUGAACGAAGGCGUGGGUAGCAAACGGG